RNAcentral lists this ribosomal RNA (254 nucleotides) under uncultured bacterium. Its description in RNAcentral is "partial 16S ribosomal RNA". It matches the Rfam family "Bacterial small subunit ribosomal RNA", at positions 524 to 776 of the family's 1533-position model. The record is from RNAcentral.
UACGGGGGGAGCAAGCGUUGUUCGGAUUUACUGGGCGUAAAGGGCGCGUAGGCGGCCAUGACAAGUCACUUGUGAAAUCUCCGGGCUUAACUCGGAACGGUCAAGUGAUACUGUCGGGCUAGAGUGCAGAAGGGGCAACUGGAAUUCUCGGUGUAGCGGUGAAAUGCGUAGAUAUCGGAAGGAACAUCAGUGGCGAAAGCGACUUCCUGGACCAGUACCGACGUUCAGGCACGAAAGCGUGGGGAGCAAACAGG